This 23-nucleotide non-coding RNA is filed under the name Cricetulus griseus (Chinese hamster). Lineage: Eukaryota; Metazoa; Chordata; Mammalia; Rodentia; Cricetidae. The record is from RNAcentral.
CACAGAAUGACAAGACCAAAGGA